RNAcentral lists this ribosomal RNA (320 nucleotides) under uncultured bacterium. Its description in RNAcentral is "bacterial SSU rRNA". It matches the Rfam family "Bacterial small subunit ribosomal RNA", at positions 37 to 334 of the family's 1533-position model. The record is from RNAcentral.
GAGUGAACCGCGUAGCGAUAGGCUUAACACAUGCAAGUCGAGGGGUAACAGUGGAAGUAGCUUAGCUACUUCUGAUGACGACCGGCGGAUGGGUGAGUAACGCGUAUGCAACUUGCCUCUUAGUGGGGAAUAACCCGGAGAAAUCCGGACUAAUACCGCAUACACUUAGUUAUCCGCAUGGAUGAUUAAGGAAAGAUUUAUUGCUAAGAGAUAGGCAUGCGUUCCAUUAGUUAGUUGGUGAGGUAACGGCUCACCAAGGCAACGAUCGGUAGCCGGACUGAGAGGUUGAACGGCCACAUUGGGACUGAGACACGGCCCAG